UUACGGCCACAUCAUGUUGAAACACCGGUUCCCAUACGAUUAGCAAAGUUAAGCAACAUCGCUCCUGGUUAGUACCUAUAUGGGUGGCUGUCUGGGAAUACAAGUUACUGUAAG
Molecule: non-coding RNA, 114 nt
Organism: Acanthosepion pharaonis
Lineage: Eukaryota; Metazoa; Mollusca; Cephalopoda; Sepiida; Sepiidae
Source: the annotation of a GenBank genome assembly